RNAcentral lists this long non-coding RNA (1256 nucleotides) under Bemisia tabaci. RNAcentral describes it as "lncRNA ENSSSA1UGG010155". The record is from RNAcentral. Lineage: Eukaryota; Metazoa; Arthropoda; Insecta; Hemiptera; Aleyrodidae.
GUCAGCCAAAAAGAGAACACUGGUUUCUGUUUCGCUUUCACAGACUCUGAUAUUCAAUAUUACCGUGUUGUUGAAAGUGCACGUCUUUUCCCUUUAACCAACCAUUGUUAAAGAUUAUCGAGAUAUAAAGCGUAGCAAGAGGAGUUCGACACACCUUUUGGACUCAGAACUUUCUUUUACGGUUUUAAAGUUCGACUUUCAACCCUACUGAGUGCCCACUGUUGAAUGAAGCCAUGAAGUUUUUGUACAUUUUUGGAGUAUUUUACUACAUCAUUAUUUUAAAAAUUUCUCAUCAUCUCACAGAGGCUCCGUCUUUUUCGCAAUCUCUUUCUAGAGGAAAAUCUUUGUUACUUUCGAGCUUAUCCUCUCGUGCGAGACAAUCCUCAGCUUCCAUUGAUGGAUCAUCAUACAGGAACAAAGGCUCGACUGUUGAUGACAACGAGAUCCCGCAACAGGGUGCUACGUCAAGGCUGAUGUUCAAUAAAUCCCUCUCAACUAAACUCAAGUCGGUUUUUUCCAGAAAACAUAGUCAUCUCAGCAAAGAGGAAAAGGAAGAACAACAAAGGAAAUGCGAUGCUGAAAACUUUCGGCGAGCAUACGAGUCUAAGACAGAUUAUGAUUUUCUCAGGCAGCUAAGGCAGAAAUGCUGGCGAUACUGUUUGGAGAACCAUGGCUACUUCUACGAUUUGACCACAGGCAAAAGCCCUCCGCUCUCGGAAGGUGUGGUGAUAGAAGAACAACAUUGCGCUUCGAAGCCGAGCCUAAUAUGCGUUUGUCGAAUGUCGACGUCGCUUUCUGACAUGCUAUCAAAGUGGGGCCUUCAACCUAAAUCCUAUACAGCGAAGAACGGGGAGCUAAGAAAACGGAGAAUCCUCAGUCUUCUUCGGAAGAAACAUGUGUCGGUUUACAGCACAGAGGAUUUGCGCAUACUUACCAAGGAGAGUUUUAAGGAUCAUGGCGUGGCGUACAACGAGAGAACCAAGAAUGAAGUGGAUGAGAGGCUGAGACUGCUGAGAGCCGAGGCGAGGAUGAGAGCGGAGUGGGCAGCAGCCCAGGAAGCCGAGUCCAAACGUGGAAGUUCACCCGAGCUCGAUAUCCUGGAAGAUGAAGAUGAUGAAGGGGGUAGCUCAAAGAGCGUCUCGAGAAGAUACUCGGAAAGUAGUCGGCGGGGAAGUUCAGGAGGCAGCCCACGGUGGAGCCCACUAGAUCGACAUAGCAAUUCCUUGGUGACGAAGCGAUAUGAUGGAAAUAAAUAA